UGUUGGUUUCUAAAAAAACUAAGCCUUUUCCUUUGUUUUCUCUGCAGGUUUGAGCACGGUCAGCGCUCCGGCGGCCUACCACCGUCCUCCGUCGCGUCUCCGGUGUCGGUGACCGUCGCCGGCAACCGCGUGCGGUGGCCGGAGCUCCGAAAAAUGGUAUUUUUUUGUAUACUUUUUUAUAUAUAUCUUAGAUAAGUAUGUAUAUAUUAAUACUUGUCAAAAAUUCGAAAAAGAAAAGAAAAGAACAAAAUAAAAUAAAACAAGAAUGCGAAAACAGUAAAACUAUCACCUUAGAUUUCAAACUUGGCUCCUGUCUUUGAACUGUUUUUAUUUGCUAGAGUUUUAGCUUUUUGUAUUUUAAAAAAUCUAAGGCUGUUUUUUUCAUUAUCAAAAUGCCGACCUUUUUACAAGAUUUUGACUCGGCUUUUAUAGCCAUUGUACAACCCUUUUUUAUUAUUUGUUGUCCUUUCUCUGCAGAAAAAUGGGCGGUGGAGCAGAGGCCAUUUGUGCUGUCGACGUGACUGGGGCGGUGGGAGUCAGAGGCAGUGGAGGCAAGUGGUUUAGGGUUUCAAAUUCUGAAACCCUAAACUUGGGGCUAGUUGGGUUUGGGCCUCUGUUAUUUGUUUUGGGUAGAUUAUUGUUUUGGGCUAAGUUUAAGGCUAAGGGUUUUUUUGGGUUUUUAAUUGGGUAGUUGGGUUAUUUUGGUGUUUGUUUAGGUAUUGGGCCCGGGCAAAAUGGGUUUGUACACAAUCAAAAGUGCGAUCUAAAAUCUAAAAACCCCAUUAAAACACAGAAACAAGGCAUUCAUAGACACGCCAACAAGUAUGGUGAAAAAAGAACAAGAGGUUCGCUUACUUCUCGCAGGCUCCUUUUCGAUAUUUUUCAGCUUGAAAUAUCUUCGUGCCUCUUUCGUACCAAGAUUUGGUAUAAUUGGGAUCGGAUUUCCACUUCCGUUGAUGCUUCAAACCAGGUCUUUCAGCGUUAAGAUACCAAGGUGCUGCUGACAUAAACUGAGGAAUAUGAGGGUUAAUUUCUUUUCCAUCCUCGUCAACCUCAGCCGGUGCAAGCCCCGCCUUUCGAGCUUCCUCUAAUUCCAGCUGUUUCCGGUGAUCCUCCCUUGAUUUAAAGGCAGCUGAUGAAGUAGCCAUGUUGAAUCAAUAAAAUAUUAGCAGAAGCUAGGAUUUUGCUGGUUUUUCCUUUAGAUGUGGGUUGAUCCUGAGAUUGAAAUUAAAAACAUUCUCUCUCUUAAAUAAUAAUGUUUAAACCUAAUCCUACUAUGAUUCUUAUUUUUAAUUUUCUUUAUUUUUAAUUAAUAAAUUAUCUUUUAAUUUUUUUAAUUAAUAUUUUUUAAAAAUUAUUUAAAAUUAAAAAUAUGUAAUUGUAUAUAUCUCAUUAUCUU
RNAcentral lists this long non-coding RNA (1399 nucleotides) under Gossypium barbadense (sea-island cotton). Its description in RNAcentral is "long non-coding RNA (GBAR_LNC001094)". Lineage: Eukaryota; Viridiplantae; Streptophyta; Magnoliopsida; Malvales; Malvaceae. The record is from RNAcentral.